CAGAGGACCCCUAAACUCUGUUUCUAUAUGUAACUUCUGAGUAAAACCACCCCCCCAUCAAAACUUUCAACAACGGAUCUCUUGGUUCUGGCAUCGAUGAAGAACGCAGCAAAAUGCGAUAAGUAAUGUGAAUUGCAGAAUUCAGUGAAUCAUCGAAUCUUUGAACGCACAUUGCGCCUGCCAGUAUUCUGGCGGGCAUGCCUGUUCGAGCGUCAUUUCAACCCUCAAGCACAGCUUGGUGUUGGGACUCGCGUUAAUUCGCGUUCCCCAAAUUGAUUGGCGGUCACGUCGAGCUUCCAUAGCGUAGUAGUAAAACCCUCGUUACUGGUAAUCGUCGCGGCCACGCCGUUAAACCCCAACUUCUGAAUGUUGACCUCGGAUCAGGUAGGAAUACCCGCUGAACUUAAGCAUAUCAAUAAGCGGAGGAA
This 428-nucleotide ribosomal RNA is filed under the name uncultured organism. Its description in RNAcentral is "eukaryotic LSU rRNA". The stretch from base 62 to 215 matches the Rfam family "5.8S ribosomal RNA". The record is from RNAcentral.